Molecule: ribosomal RNA, 370 nt
Filed under: uncultured bacterium
Lineage: Bacteria
Description: bacterial SSU rRNA
Rfam family: Bacterial small subunit ribosomal RNA
Source: RNAcentral
AGAGGGUGCGAGCGUUAAUCGGAAUUACUGGGCGUAAAGCGCACGUAGGCGGCUUGGUAUGUCGGGUGUGAAAUCCCCGGGCUCAACCUGGGAACUGCAUCCGAAACUGCCUUGCUCGAGUAUGGGAGAGGGAAGUGGAAUUUCCGGUGUAGCGGUGAAAUGCGUAGAUAUCGGAAGGAACAUCAGUGGCGAAGGCGACUUCCUGGACCAAUACUGACGCUCAGGUGCGAAAGCGUGGGGAGCAAACAGGAUUAGAUACCCUGGUAGUCCACGCCCUAAACGAUGAGAACUGGAUGUCGGGAGGGUCUGCCUUCCGGUGUCGUAGCUAACGCGUUAAACGCGCCGCCUGGGGAGUACGGUCGCAAGAUUA